Molecule: long non-coding RNA, 866 nt
Filed under: Astyanax mexicanus (Mexican tetra)
Lineage: Eukaryota; Metazoa; Chordata; Actinopteri; Characiformes; Acestrorhamphidae
Description: lncRNA (ENSAMXG00005024587.1)
Source: RNAcentral
GGUCUGAGGAAAAUCAGGAGUCACAAGAACGCCAGCGUGGACCCUGUUCAGAACCAAGUUCAGAAUCCGGAAUAUUGUUUAUUUAUUGUCUGAACAGAGUUUAAAAAUAUAACUGGUCGUAAAUACGUUUAAAGGCUCGACCUCCGCUCACCUGUGACAGGUAUUUUAUUUUUUAUUGAAUCUCAGCGAACACACACAGCUGCUUGUUGUUGAUGUCACUCAAAAUCUUAUUGUUACCUAGGUUAACUAGCGUCAGUUAGUUAGCGUUAGCUAAGAACACUUAAAAUGAACAUUAAUAAUUUUAUAAGAAGUGGGAAAGUAAGGAGUUGUUUGGACCAAUUUUUGGACUGUAACUGAAUUUCUGAAGUUUUACAGUGUAAGUUAGUGUUACAGCGACAUUAUAUUAUUUGUAAAUAUGUGAGUGUGUGUUGUAUAUAACGUGUUUGUUUUCCCCCAUAUUUUGACCAAGGGAUGUGUGACUUGUAGUACACAACAAGUACAAGUGAAGGAGUGAAUUUGGGAGGAGACUCGCCAACCUGUACAUUUACCUAAGGACGCCUGUACAAACCCGUGGAUACAAACAUUAAACCACAGAUGGAUAUAAAGCUGAUAUGUGAUCCCCCUCAAGUUCAUGUCUAAGGUCAGCAGUUACCUGAAGGUCCACCAGAGAGUAAGCUUGAUGGAGACAGGUAGACGAGACAGGUCAGGUAGAGUUACACCUGUUGCCUGUACAGUGUGUGCUUGUAGUGUGUGGUGUUCUGGCUGCCCCUCUCAUCCACCUCAGCUCUUCAUCUCUGCUCAACCUCCCAGGGUAAGCAAUUGGGUUAUUAAAUAUGAAUGGGAGAAGGGAAGGGGAGGUACAUAUU